RNAcentral lists this long non-coding RNA (1196 nucleotides) under Equus caballus (horse). RNAcentral describes it as "lncRNA (ENSECAG00000052608.1)". The record is from RNAcentral. Lineage: Eukaryota; Metazoa; Chordata; Mammalia; Perissodactyla; Equidae.
CUCGAAAGGAAAUGUUCAUUUCUCGAUGGAACUCAAGGACCUUCCUUUCCUCUACUCUUACAAUUUUCACAAAAAGUCAGAAGCAAAGAAAGGAAAGAAGCUUUAUUUCACAAGUAGGAGAGGACUUACUCAAGUUCAGAAACUCUGAUGAGGCCACGUUUUCUAAGAUAGAGACUUCGAAGGGGCUGGAAGUCAUGCGUGGGUAUGAUGCCUCUCUCUUCCUGCCUUUCAGUCUGGAAGAAGAAGGGACAAAGGGGAGGACGUUUCUUCUCUCCGCUUAAAUUGCUCAACCUCUUACUUUGGCCUGAGAAGGCCUGGAGCAGGUUGCCAAGGAACACCAGAUACCUGAGGAAGGCUUUUAACAUGGAAGAUAACAACCAAAACACAAAGACAAAAACAAAAACAAAAGCAGCUACUUGGAAGAAACAAUUCAAUAAGAAGAAAAAAACUAACAAAUAGUCAGAUAAGAGAAGACAUUGCAUGUAUGAAACAAGAACAGAACGGAAUAAAAAAGAAAAAUUCAGAGAACAAAACGUGCUUGUGGAAAUUAAACACGGGAGAAAUGAAAAACUAAAUAAAGGGUUGGAAGAUUAUGUUGAAGUUAUUUUUAAGACAAGAGAAGAAAAAGACCAACAAAUAGGAAAUUGAACAUGCAAGAUAAGAAAAGUAGAAAACCAACCUAGAAAGUCUAAAAUAUGAAUAAUAGAGACUCUAGAAGGAGAGAAUGGAAAAAUAAUGGGUGAAAUCAUUAACAAAAUAAUUUGAGAAGAAUCCUUCCAGAACUGAAACACAUGAGUUGCCAGAGUGGAAGGCUCCAGUGAAAGUCCAAAAAGGUUGAUCAAAAUAUAUCCAUACCCAGCCUCAUGGUUGUGAAAUAUCAGAACACUAAGGAUAAAAAGAAGAUUUCACAAACUUCCAGAUUAAAAAAACAAGUCAUAUACAAAAGAUCAGGAAUCAAAAUGAUUUGGAUAUAUCUCAACAAAAACACUGGAAACAAGCAGGCAAAACUCUGAAAAGAUAAUAUUUCCAACAUAGAAUUGUAUAACCAAGUAAACUACCAUAUUAAUAUGAGAAUAAAAUAAAGACAUUUUCAUAUAUGCAAGUCCUCAAAAUAUGUACCUUUCACAUACCCUUUAUUAAGAAGCUAGAGGGGGAUGUGCUCUAAAUAAGUGAACAAACCAAAAAAGGAAUACAGG